GCAGCUUCCCCCAUUGCCAUCUCAAGUGCAAAAACUCUACCAAAAUCUUCACCAUUUUAACGCAUGAUCAAGCUGUGGCAGAUAAUCAGAAAUGUUAGUAUUUCUUGUAAAAUGAACCGAGGGCAUAUGAGUAAAAAUGUAAAAGUCAGUUAGGAGGUAUUAAACUGAUUUAGCGGGACUUUCAGUUGUAAUUGUCAUUACGAGUUUGUUAAUUAAAUUUCCACUUUCUCUCUCUCUCUUAAUCUUCUUCUUCUCCUCCAUCAUCUCUGAAACCCUAACAGAAGGUUGAAAUGCGAAAUACGCACUGAUUCAUACUCCGGUUCUACAGACUAGAGAGGAAGCAAAGCAAAAAAAAAAUGUAAGUGGUGAAUAAAGAUAAGGGGAGUGCACCGAGUAGUUAGCAUGAACAUUAUAAAUGGCAUUGUUAAGAGUCUUCUCUAUCUACAUCAAGACUCCAGACUGAGAAUCGUUCACCGAGAUCUCGAGGAUGGAAAUAUUUUACUCGAUCAUCAGAUGAAUCCAAAAAUCUCAGACUUUGAAUCCAAAAAUCUCAGACUUUGGCACUGCUAGAAUUUUUUGGAGAAGUGACUCUCUAC
Molecule: long non-coding RNA, 596 nt
Filed under: Panax ginseng (ginseng)
Lineage: Eukaryota; Viridiplantae; Streptophyta; Magnoliopsida; Apiales; Araliaceae
Description: long non-coding RNA (PGIN_LNC011456)
Source: RNAcentral